This 1164-nucleotide ribosomal RNA is filed under the name Nitratifractor salsuginis. RNAcentral's name for it is "bacterial SSU rRNA". Lineage: Bacteria; Pseudomonadati; Campylobacterota; Epsilonproteobacteria; Campylobacterales; Sulfurovaceae. The record is from RNAcentral.
CACCAAGGCUAUGACGCCUAGCUGGUCUGAAGGAUGAUCAGCCACACUGGACUGAGACACGGUCCAGACUCCUACGGGAGCAGCAGUGGGGAAUAUUGCACAUGGCGAAAGCCUGAUGCAGCACGCGCGUGGAGGAUGACACCCUUCGGGGCGUAACUCCUUUUAUGAGGGAAGAUAAUGACGGUACUCAUGAAUAAGCACCGGCUAACUCCGUGCCAGCAGCCGCGGUAAUACGGAGGGUGCAAGCGUUACUCGGAAUCACUGGGCGUAAAGCGCGCGCAGGCGGGUUGGUAAGUUGGAUGUGAAAGCUACGGCUCAACCGUAGAACUGCAUCCAAAACUGCCAGCCUAGAGUCUGGGAGAGGUGAGUGGAAUUAGUGGUGUAGGGGUAAAAUCCGUAGAGAUCACUAGGAAUACCGAAAGCGAAGGCAACUCACUGGAACAGUACUGACGCUGAGGCGCGAAAGCGUGGGGAGCAAACAGGAUUAGAUACCCUGGUAGUCCACGCCCUAAACGAUGAAUGUUAGUCGUUGCGGCGCACGUCGUCGCAGUGAUGCAGCUAACGCAUUAAACAUUCCGCCUGGGGAGUACGGUCGCAAGAUUAAAACUCAAAGGAAUAGACGGGGACCCGCACAAGUGGUGGAGCAUGUGGUUUAAUUCGAAGAUACGCGAAGAACCUUACCCGGCCUUGACAUCCCGAGAACCCUCCAGAGAUGGGGGGGUGCUACUUCGGUAGAGCUCGGUGACAGGUGCUGCACGGCUGUCGUCAGCUCGUGUCGUGAGAUGUUGGGUUAAGUCCCGCAACGAGCGCAACCCUCGUGUCCAGUUGCUAACGGUUCGGCCGAGMACUCUGGACAGACUGCCUGGGCAACCAGGAGGAAGGUGAGGACGACGUCAAGUCAUCAUGGCCCUUACGGCCGGGGCGACACACGUGCUACAAUGGGCAGGACAAUGAGAUGCGAUACCGCGAGGUGGAGCAAAUCUAUAAACCUGCUCUCAGUUCGGAUUGCAGUCUGCAACUCGACUGCAUGAAGCUGGAAUCACUAGUAAUCGUGGAUCAGCCAUGCCACGGUGAAUACGUUCCCGGGUCUUGUACUCACCGCCCGUCACACCAUGGGAGUUGAGUUCACCCGAAGCGGGGAAGCUAAACCGGCUACCCUCCACG